UCGGGAAUUUUGGGCAAUGGGCGAAAGCCUGACCCAGCAACGCCGCGUGAAGGAUGAAGUAUUUCGGUAUGUAAACUUCGAAAGAAUAGGAAGAAUAAAUGACGGUACUAUUUAUAAGCUCCGGCUAACUACGUGCCAGCAGCCGCGGUAAUACGUAGGGAGCAAGCGUUGUUCGGAUUUACUGGGCGUAAAGGGCGCGUAGGCGGCGCGGUAAGUCACUUGUGAAAUCUCUGAGCUUAACUCAGAACGGCCAAGUGAUACUGCAGUGCUAGAGUGCAGAAGGGGCAAUCGGAAUCCUUGGUGUAGCGGUGAAAUGCGUAGAUAUCAAGAGGAACACCUGAGGUGAAGACGGGUUGCUGGGCUGACACUGACGCUGAGGCGCGAAAGCCAGGGGAGCAAACGGGAUUAGAGUACCCAGGUAGUCCCUGAGCGGGCUGGCAAGGCGCAU
RNAcentral lists this ribosomal RNA (448 nucleotides) under uncultured bacterium. RNAcentral's name for it is "bacterial SSU rRNA". It matches the Rfam family "Bacterial small subunit ribosomal RNA", at positions 355 to 825 of the family's 1533-position model. The record is from RNAcentral.